GACGAACGCUGGCGGCGUGCCUAAUACAUGCAAGUCGAACGCACAGUUUAUACCGUAGCUUGCUACACCAUAAACUGUGAGUUGCGAACGGGUGAGUAACGCGUAGGUAACCUGCCUGGUAGCGGGGGAUAACUAUUGGAAACGAUAGCUAAUACCGCAUAAUAUUAAUUAUUGCAUGAUAAUUGAUUGAAAGAUGCAAUUGCAUCACUACCAGAUGGACCUGCGUUGUAUUAGCUAGUAGGUGAGGUAACGGCUCACCUAGGCGACGAUACAUAGCCGACCUGAGAGGGUGAUCGGCCACACUGGGACUGAGACACGGCCCAGACUCCUACGGGAGGCAGCAGUAGGGAAUCUUCGGCAAUGGACGAAAGUCUGACCGAGCAACGCCGCGUGAGUGAAGAAGGUUUUCGGAUCGUAAAGCUCUGUUGUAAGAGAAGAACGGGUGUGAGAGUGGAAAGUUCACACUGUGACGGUAUCUUACCAGAAAGAGACGGCUAACUACGUG
This 505-nucleotide ribosomal RNA is filed under the name uncultured bacterium. Its description in RNAcentral is "partial 16S ribosomal RNA". It matches the Rfam family "Bacterial small subunit ribosomal RNA", at positions 28 to 507 of the family's 1533-position model. The record is from RNAcentral.